UGAAGCCCAGCUUGCUGGGUGGAUGAGUGGCGAACGGGUGAGUAACACGUGGGUAAUCUGCCCUGUACUCUGGGAUAAGCCUGGGAAACUGGGUCUAAUUACGGAUAGGACACACUGCCGCAUGGUGGUGUGUGGAAAGCUCCGGCGGUACAGGUUGAGCCCGCGGCCUAUCAGCUUGUUGGUGGGGUGAUGGCCUACCAAGGCGACGACGGGUAGCCGGCCUGAGAGGGUGACCGGCCACACUGGGACUGAGACACGGCCCAGACUCCUACGGGAGGCAGCAGUGGGGAAUAUUGCACAAUGGGCGCAAGCCUGAUGCAGCGACGCCGCGUGGGGGAUGACGGCCUUCGGGUUGUAAACCCCUUUCGCCAGGGACGAAGCGUAAGUGACGGUACCUGGAGAAGAAGCACCGGCCAACUACGUGCCAGCAGCCGCGGUAAUACGUAGGGUGCAAGCGUUGUCCGGAAUUAUUGGGCGUAAAGAGCUCGUAGGCGGUGUGUCACGUCUGCCGUGAAAACCUGCGGCUUAACCGUGGGCGUGCGGUGGAUACGGGCAUCACUUGAGUUCGGUAGGGGAGACUGGAAUUCCUGGUGUAGCGGUGGAAUGCGC
Molecule: ribosomal RNA, 609 nt
Filed under: Saccharomonospora sp. YIM 100713
Lineage: Bacteria; Bacillati; Actinomycetota; Actinomycetes; Pseudonocardiales; Pseudonocardiaceae
Description: bacterial SSU rRNA
Rfam family: Bacterial small subunit ribosomal RNA
Source: RNAcentral